This 360-nucleotide ribosomal RNA is filed under the name uncultured eukaryote. RNAcentral's name for it is "partial 18S ribosomal RNA". It matches the Rfam family "Eukaryotic small subunit ribosomal RNA", at positions 592 to 976 of the family's 1831-position model. The record is from RNAcentral.
CAAUAGCAUAUAUUAACGUUGUUGCAGUUGAAAAGCUCGUAGUUGAACUUUUGGUAGGAGCGACCUGGCCUUGGGCGCAUGCCCUUGUUUGCCGUGUGUCGUGUCUGGCCAUCCUUUUCCGCUUCGGCGGGAAUCUUUUACUGUGAGUAAACUGGAGUGCUCAAAACAAGACGUUUGUUUGGUACAUUAAAGCAUGGAAUAAUAAGAUAGGACCUGGUUACUAUUUUGUUGGUUUGCAUAGCUAGGUAAUGAUUAACAGGGACAGUUGGGGGUAUUCGUAUUUAAUUGUCAGAGGUGAAAUUCUUGGAUUUAUGAAAGACGAACGACUGCGAAAGCAUUUACCAAGGAUGUUUCCAUUAA